CACGGAACUGGGCAGUGGACACCACCCUCCCUCGCAGGCUUCCAAAGUAAUUUGAAGGCUUUCCCUGACUUAAAGUGGAUGCUGCUUUGGAAAGCACCGGAAAAAUGGAUCCUGUCUUUCUCAGCCAAGGACUGGUCUCUUUUCUCCAGUAUGUUCCUAACAGAGUGGGAGUCUGGCUGUUCCACCAGUACAGGUAAUGCGGUAAAGAUAGGACCAUGUGGACGAAGAGGUAUUGCCUUCUCUAUUUACAGAUGACAAAGACCCAGGCCUAACCUCAACUGCACCUUCUGUCUCUGGGAAGUCACUUAUGGAGUAGACCUAUAAUUAGGAUUUGGUACCUGAAACAUAAUUCUCAGGAUGAUGAAUCUCUAAAUUAUGUCCCCAGAGACAUACCUGAGACAAAACCCUAAGGGCUGUUGGCCGUAAGAAGGUGUGUGUGGUAUUCUACAUUCAGUGGGGAUUUAUAAAUGAGGAUGAUAUCACUCA
RNAcentral lists this non-coding RNA (486 nucleotides) under Pongo abelii (Sumatran orangutan). The record is from RNAcentral. Lineage: Eukaryota; Metazoa; Chordata; Mammalia; Primates; Hominidae.